GAUGAACGCUAGCGAUAGGCCUAACACAUGCAAGUCGAGGGGCAUCACAUGAAGUAGCAAUACGGAUGGUGGCGACCGGCGCACGGGUGAGUAACACGUAUGUAACUUGCCUCAUUCAACGGGAUAGCCCGGGGAAACCCGGAUUAAUAUCGUAUAACAUCGGGACAGGCAUCUGUUUUGAUUGAAAGAUUCAUCGGAAUGAGAUAGACAUGCGUAUGAUUAGCUUGUUGGCGGGGUAACGGCCCACCAAGGCGAUGAUCAUUAGGGGUCCUGAGAGGGUGAUCCCCCACACUGGUACUGAGACACGGACCAGACUCCUACGGGAGGCAGCAGUGAGGAAUAUUGGUCAAUGGACGCAAGUCUGAACCAGCCACGUCGCGUGAAGGAAGACGGCCCUACGGGUUGUAAACUUCUUUUAUACGGGAAUAAAGUGCCCCACGCGUGGGUUUUGCAUGUACCGUAUGAAUAAGGAUCGGCUAACUCCGUGCCAGC
RNAcentral lists this ribosomal RNA (492 nucleotides) under uncultured bacterium. RNAcentral describes it as "bacterial SSU rRNA". It matches the Rfam family "Bacterial small subunit ribosomal RNA", at positions 28 to 512 of the family's 1533-position model. The record is from RNAcentral.